GGAAGACUUGAGUUGACCGAAACCCUAGGGCUUUUCUUCUUCCUUUUCGGUUGUAAGUCCAAGAACAGCGAGAUAAAGGAAAAGGAAAAGUAUAAGAAGGAAGGCGACAAGGAGAUGCUGUGACAGUGUGUGUGAUGCCAGGACUAUGGAGAGAUCCAGAGUUCGCUAGCGAAUUUUCCGGACCUACCUGUUUACAGUUUUAGUUUAUGUUAUUAUGAAGUUGAGAUUGUAAUUGAGUUAUUCCGCACUUGUAGCUUGUUAUGUCCUAUCGUUGGAGUUCUAUCUGUUUACUAUUGCUAGAAUAGUUUUUUU
Molecule: long non-coding RNA, 312 nt
Organism: Zingiber officinale
Lineage: Eukaryota; Viridiplantae; Streptophyta; Magnoliopsida; Zingiberales; Zingiberaceae
Exons: 2
Source: RefSeq, a predicted model, not a curated record